UUUAUCGUUAGUACUUUAUGUGUACAAUAAGAUACAAUGAAGGGUUAUUUUUUGGUCUUUGCCGUCGUCCUGCUGUUCGCAGCGUUCGCAUUUGCUGAUCCUGUUUAUGAUGAUGUAGAGAGUGAAGGAAUCUUAUCGCGCAUGCGCAGAGCUAAAUGCGACUUCAACGCCUGUGACCGCUGGUGCCGCCAACUGAAGUUCCCGGGAGGCGCAUGCGUCGGUGACAAAUGCGAUUGUGAUCGUUGGUGACUCAGAAACAUUCGGUUGGUUUAACAUUUAAUAUGUUUUUGUUAUCUCAUUAAAAUUCUAUAUUAAUGUAA
Long non-coding RNA from Manduca sexta (tobacco hornworm), 320 nucleotides. RefSeq lists it as uncharacterized. The record is from RefSeq and is a predicted model, not a curated record. The transcript is spliced from 2 exons. NCBI's taxonomy places the organism in Eukaryota, Metazoa, Arthropoda, Insecta, Lepidoptera, Sphingidae.